Long non-coding RNA from Helianthus annuus (common sunflower), 1484 nucleotides. RefSeq lists it as uncharacterized. The transcript has 7 exons. The record is from RefSeq and is a predicted model, not a curated record. NCBI's taxonomy places the organism in Eukaryota, Viridiplantae, Streptophyta, Magnoliopsida, Asterales, Asteraceae.
UGCAGGAAGGGGACAUGUUAUCUGAACUUAUUCAGACUCAAACGAGAGUGGAACUGGGAAUGAAGAGCUUAAUGACGAUGUUGCCCAUGAAGAUGAAGACUAUGACGAUGGUGGCUAUUCAUUUGACUUGAAGUACACACAUAAACAAGAUUAAAGAAAUGCAAAAUUGGGUGGGAAACUUCAAGACAGAAGGGCCGAAAUGAACAAAUUGGGCAUAUCAUUGGUUUUUUUAAUGUUCCUGGUUGCAGGAGUUUGAGCAUAAAUGACGGGUUGCCAAUGGCUAGAACUUCUACACACUCUCAUGUUCAACCACCUCAUAGCGGUGGAACAGUUGGUGCGUCAAAGGUGACUGAGCGACCCAUGUUGAGAUUAUCUCCGAGGUCUAAACCAGUUGACAAUAUUGAACCACAUGUAGCUUAUAAUCAGCUGGAUCAGAGGAUGCCCAUCCGACAUCUAAGCAACCAAGAUUGAACUUAAAGAGUAAAUAUUUAUAGGGAUCUUGCUGUAGUUUUGGAUGAAGAAUUGCGAAGAAAGGGAGCUACAGUUAACCAGCUCGCAAAUCGUAUGGACAGUGGAAUGCACUGAAUGAAGUUGUUAAAGACAUGGAGAUUGUAUGGCCACCACUGGUUGUUAUCAUGAAUACUUAGCUUGAACAAGAUGGAAAUGAUAAGUGGCUCAGGAUGGGAAACCAAGAGCUGCUUGACUACUACUUUAGGUCAUCUGAAGCAAUGAGGGCCGCCAUUCUUACAGGCCAAAAGGACACAUGGGUAUGAGUGUGUUGAUUUUUGAAUCCUCGGUCGUUGGAUAUACAUAGGCUGAACGUCUGAGCAAGCAUUUUGAAGAUGAAUGAUCAAGGAUCUGAUCGAGAUACGCCGGAUCGUUGUCCUGUUCUGUUUUAUCCCGGAGGCAAAUGAAAGCUAUAUGGCAACUAAAAAAAGACAUGGAUAUCUUUAAUCGAUAUUCUCUAGAUGAUAAUGAUGUUGUCAAGGAGGAUGCUCAAGAUGGCGAUGAUAAUGUUGAAUGUGGUGAUGAUGAUGAGCUUAAGCCAGAUGAGAAUCUUUGCUUUGAAAAGAUCCAUGGUGGAAAAUGUUUCAGAUAUUAGAUAUUACAUGGUGUAUGAGAAUUUGUCAUUGAUGAAUGUCGCAAAUGCUGGUGCGGUUGCUGAUAGUAGGGAGGUGGUGCAUCAGGGGACACAGGGGCAUGAGAGAGAGAUGUGAUCAGGAUGUUUAAAGAGUUGAGGCAGUUGGUUACAUAUUUUUGGGGUGGGACAAAGCCACCUUUGAGGGAAGAGGAGAAUGAAUUCUUGGAGAAGAAGAUGAAGUCGCAGGGUUUUGAGUUGAGUUGUCCAUUUGAGUUUGUCUUAAGAAAAUGUUUUUGUUUAUGAAAAUUUAUAUUACUUUGUUCUUGACUGAUGAAAUUUCGACCUUAGCUUAAAUCAAAAGCCAUUAAUUGGCAUACAAAAUUAGAUGUUAUAUUUUGGGUUU